Molecule: non-coding RNA, 72 nt
Organism: Ictidomys tridecemlineatus (thirteen-lined ground squirrel)
Lineage: Eukaryota; Metazoa; Chordata; Mammalia; Rodentia; Sciuridae
Source: Rfam
GGAGUUGUAGCUCAGUGAUAGAGUGCUUGUCUUGCAUGUGUGAGGCACUGGGUUCAAUUCUCAGCACCACCA